UACGUAGGGGGCGAGCGUUGUCCGAAUUUACUGGGCGUAAAGCGCGCGUAGGCGGGCUCCUAAGUUGGGGGUGAAAUGCCGGAGCUCAACUCCGGAACUGCCUCCAAAACUGGGAGCCUUGAGGUAUGGAGAGGGAAGUGGAAUUCCUGGUGUAGCGGUGAAAUGCGUAGAUAUCAGGAGGAACACCUGUGGCGAAGGCGGCUUCCUGGCCAUAUCCUGACGCUGAGGCGCGAAAGCUAGGGGAG
Molecule: ribosomal RNA, 245 nt
Filed under: uncultured bacterium
Lineage: Bacteria
Description: partial 16S ribosomal RNA
Rfam family: Bacterial small subunit ribosomal RNA
Source: RNAcentral